UUGCAACCAACCAAGUUAAUGCUCCUUUCCCUCCCAUGGGGCCAAGUGUGCAAACAGCACCUUGGGGUAGUAUCCACAGCCUGCUGCUCCUUAUAGGUUGCCCUAAGGGACCCUGCAGACAGCC
Molecule: small nucleolar RNA, 124 nt
Organism: Erinaceus europaeus (western European hedgehog)
Lineage: Eukaryota; Metazoa; Chordata; Mammalia; Eulipotyphla; Erinaceidae
Gene: SNORA70
Rfam family: Small nucleolar RNA SNORA70
About the family: snoRNA U70 seems to be exclusive to mammals and is a member of the H/ACA class of snoRNA which contain H (ANANNA) and ACA box motifs. H/ACA box snoRNAs are involved in the conversion of uridines to pseudouridines (5-ribosyluracil) a constituent of structural RNAs (transfer, ribosomal, small nuclear, and small nucleolar).
Source: Ensembl